RNAcentral lists this ribosomal RNA (432 nucleotides) under Latiblattella sp. 3 DJGI-2006. RNAcentral's name for it is "partial 12S ribosomal RNA". The record is from RNAcentral. Lineage: Eukaryota; Metazoa; Arthropoda; Insecta; Blattodea; Pseudophyllodromiidae.
GGAUUAGAUACCCUAUUAUUGUUGAUGUAAAUUAUUUUAACUUUAUUAUUAUUUGUUAUGGUCUUGAAAUUUAAAGAAUUUGGCGGUAUUUUAGUCUUUUUAGAGGAAUCUGUUUCGUUAUCGAUGGUCCGCGUUGAACCUUACUUAUAUUUGUUUAGUAUGUAUAUCGCCGUUGUUGAGGAUCUUAUUUGAGUUUAUUUAAUUUUCUUUUUUUUUAUUUUAAUUUAUUUCAGGUCAAGGUGCAGCAUUUGUAUAUAUAUAAGUGUUAAAAUGGAUUACAAUAUUUUUAUAGUAAAUGGAUUAUUGACUGGAACAUGUUGUUAUGAAGGUGGAUUUAAUAGUAAUUUUUUGUAGAUUGUUAUUUUGGAUUUGAGCUCUAUUAAUAUGUACACAUCGCCCGUCGCUCUCGUUUUUAUUAAGAUGAGAUAAGUC